GGAUCCAGACUUCGAUCCUGGCUCAGGAUGAACGCUAGCUACAGGCUUAACACAUGCAAGUCGAGGGGAAACGACAUCGAAAGCUUGCUUUUGAUGGGCGUCGACCGGCGCACGGGUGAGUAACGCGUAUCCAACCUGCCCAUCACUUGGGGAUAACCUUGCGAAAGUAAGACUAAUACCCAAUGAUAUCUCAAGAAGACAUCUGAAUGAGAUUAAAGAUUUAUCGGUGAUGGAUGGGGAUGCGUCUGAUUAGCUUGUUGGCGGGGUAACGGCCCACCAAGGCUACGAUCAGUAGGGGUUCUGAGAGGAAGGUCCCCCACAUUGGAACUGAGACACGGUCCAAACUCCUACGGGAGGCAGCAGUGAGGAAUAUUGGUCAAUGGGCGAGAGCCUGAACCAGCCAAGUAGCGUGCAGGAUGACGGCCCUAUGGGUUGUAAACUGCUUUUAUAAGGGAAUAAAGUGAGCCUCGUGAGGCUUUUUGCAUGUACCUUAUGAAUAAGGACCGGCUAAUUCCGUGCCAGCAGCCGCGGUAAUACGGAAGGUCCGGGCGUUAUCCGGAUUUAUUGGGUUUAAAGGGAGCGUAGGCCGGAGAUUAAGCGUGUUGUGAAAUGUAGAUGCUCAACAUCUGCACUGCAGCGCGAACUGGUUUCCUUGAGUACGCACAAAGUGGGCGGAAUUCGUGGUGUAGCGGUGAAAUGCUUAGAUAUCACGAAGAACUCCGAUUGCGAAGGCAGCUCACUGGAGCGCAACUGACGCUGAAGCUCGAAAGUGCGGGUAUCGAACAGGAUUAGAUACCCUGGUAGUCCGCACGGUAAACGAUGGAUGCCCGCUGUUGGUCUGAAUAGGUCAGCGGCCAAGCGAAAGCAUUAAGCAUCCCACCUGGGGAGUACGCCGGCAACGGUGCAACUCAAAGGAAUUGACGG
RNAcentral lists this ribosomal RNA (924 nucleotides) under uncultured Bacteroidota bacterium. Its description in RNAcentral is "bacterial SSU rRNA". It matches the Rfam family "Bacterial small subunit ribosomal RNA", at positions 1 to 916 of the family's 1533-position model. The record is from RNAcentral. Lineage: Bacteria; Pseudomonadati; Bacteroidota.